Molecule: small nucleolar RNA, 125 nt
Organism: Cricetulus griseus (Chinese hamster)
Lineage: Eukaryota; Metazoa; Chordata; Mammalia; Rodentia; Cricetidae
Product: small nucleolar RNA SNORA40
Source: Ensembl
AGCACCUGUGUGGGUUUUUGUUUACUGGUGGGCAAAGACUUAAGAGACAGGUGCAAAAAUAAAUCCUCUUUUGCAACCCAGAGCUCAUUGUUGUAUGAGUUUUGGUACAUGUAAGAAGGGAUAUC